Molecule: ribosomal RNA, 430 nt
Filed under: uncultured Desulfobulbus sp.
Lineage: Bacteria; Pseudomonadati; Thermodesulfobacteriota; Desulfobulbia; Desulfobulbales; Desulfobulbaceae
Description: bacterial SSU rRNA
Rfam family: Bacterial small subunit ribosomal RNA
Source: RNAcentral
CGAAGCAACGCGAAGAACCUUACCAGGCCUUGACAUGCAGAGAACUUUCCAGAGAUGGAUUGGUGCCUUCGGGAACUCUGACACAGGUGCUGCAUGGCUGUCGUCAGCUCGUGUCGUGAGAUGUUGGGUUAAGUCCCGCAACGAGCGCAACCCUUGCCUUUAGUGCCAGCAGUUCGGCUGGGCACUCUAAAGGGGACUGCCGGUGUUAAACCGGAGGAAGGUGGGGAUGACGUCAAGUCCUCAUGGCCUUUAUGACCAGGGCUACACACGUACUACAAUGGCCGAUACAAAGGGCAGCGACACUGCGAGGUGAAGCCAAUCCCGUAAAAUCGGUCUCAGUCCGGAUUGGAGUCUGCAACUCGACUCCAUGAAGUUGGAAUCGCUAGUAAUCGUGGAUCAGCAUGCCACGGUGAAUACGUUCCCGGGCCUU